GGAAGAAGAGCCCUGCUCACUUGCAUGAUGUAAUGCUUUCUCCGGGACUCCAGAGAAAUCACUUGUCUCUAUUACAGACUGCAGUCACAUUAUAAGUGUCUGUUUAAUUACCUUUCCACUUAAAAUCAUGUGCAGUGUCUCUCCCUCCACCCUGGGCUCCUUUUCCUUCAGACUUCUCAGAAGGCAAACCUGGAGCCUGAGAAGGAGCAGGAAGACCCCACCAUGAUGGACUCCAAGUGUUAAAUCAUGGCCACAGCUAAACCCUCAGCUCAUUCAUGCUUCCACCUAAUAAAUCAGCUGUGUGUGAAAGGUUCAUCAGAUCCAUAUUAUGUGGCCUAAGCUGAUGUUAUAAACAACUUCAGUUUCUGUA
Long non-coding RNA from Numida meleagris (helmeted guineafowl), 370 nucleotides. RefSeq lists it as uncharacterized. The record is from RefSeq and is a predicted model, not a curated record. Lineage: Eukaryota; Metazoa; Chordata; Aves; Galliformes; Numididae. The transcript has 2 exons.